GGGCAUAGUAUGUCUCUCUAUUUACUGUCUUCAAUUAUUCAUGUCUU
Molecule: small RNA, 47 nt
Filed under: Arabidopsis thaliana (thale cress)
Lineage: Eukaryota; Viridiplantae; Streptophyta; Magnoliopsida; Brassicales; Brassicaceae
Description: ATSL125460
Source: RNAcentral